UACGGAGGGCGCGAGCGUUGUCCGGAAUCAUUGGGCGUAAAGGGCGCGUAGGUGGCCCGGUCAGUUCGUGGUGAAAGCGCGGGGCUCAACCCUGCGUCGGCCAUGAAUACUGCCGCGGCUGGAGCACUGUAGAGGCAGGCGGAAUUCCGGGUGUAGCGGUGGAAUGCGUAGAGAUCCGGAAGAACACCGGUGGCGAAGGCGGCCUGCUGGGCAGUUGCUGACACUGAGGCGCGACAGCGUGGGGAGCAAACAGG
Molecule: ribosomal RNA, 254 nt
Filed under: uncultured bacterium
Lineage: Bacteria
Description: partial 16S ribosomal RNA
Rfam family: Bacterial small subunit ribosomal RNA
Source: RNAcentral